CCUACGGUGGGCAGCAGUAGGGAAUAUUGCUCAAUGGGGGAAACCCUGAAGCAGCAACGCCGCGUGGAGGAUGAAGGUUUUCGGAUUGUAAACUCCUUUUGUUAGAGAAGAUAAUGACGGUAUCUCACGAAUAAGCACCGGCUAACUCCGUGCCAGCAGCCGCGGUAAUACGGAGGGUGCAAGCGUUACUCGGAAUCACUGGGCGUAAAGAGCGCGUAGGCGGGAUAGCAAGUCAGAUGUGAAAUCCUAAGGCUUAACCAUAGCACUGCCUUUGAAACUGUUAUUCUAGAGUAUGGGAGAGGUAAGUGGAAUUCUUGGUGUAGGGGUAAAAUCCGUAGAGAUCAAGAGGAAUACUCAUGGCGAAGGCGACCUGCUAGAACGUAACUGACGCUGAUGCGCGAAAGCGUGGGGAGCAAACAGGAUUAGAUACCCCUGUAGUC
RNAcentral lists this ribosomal RNA (440 nucleotides) under uncultured bacterium. Its description in RNAcentral is "partial 16S ribosomal RNA". It matches the Rfam family "Bacterial small subunit ribosomal RNA", at positions 338 to 795 of the family's 1533-position model. The record is from RNAcentral.